AAACAAACCACUAUUCCCUUCGUUCUCCCUCGCCUUCGAUUUCUUGCUGCAGUGAAGCCCUUUUGAACUCUUACCAGCAUCCAGAAGUGGCUUAAACAGAUACAGUUGACUUCCCAGUAUAUCUGAACUAACCAAAUACCAGAAUAUUUGUGUGCUGUCCCGUUUGACACAAACAAGUUAUAUGCAUCAUGGCAACUGAUUCGAUGGAGAUUGACGAUGGUUUAUACAGUCGGCAGAGGUAUGUUCUUGGAGACACAGCAAUGCAGAAGAUGGCCCAGUCCCAUGUGUUCCUGAGUGGUAUGGGUGGGCUUGGCGUGGAGAUUGCUAAGAACAUAGUUCUGGCUGGAAUAAAGGCUCUUACGCUUCAUGAUACCAAGCAGUGCAAGACAUGGGAUUUGGGAACCAACUUUUUCAUCUGUGAAGAUGAUGUUACAAAUCUAAGGAACAGAGCUGAAGCUACAUUUCCUCACGUCGCAGAGCUCAACCCGUACGUCCAUGUUUUAUCAUCGACUGCACCACUUGAUGAAACAACAGACAUCUCCUUUCUAAAACACUAUCAGUGUGUCAUACUGACUGAAACAAGGCUGUCGCUGCAGAAGAAGAUUAAUGAUUUUUGUCACGCUCAACACCCCCCUAUUAAGUUUAUCAGUGCAGACGUGUAUGGCAUAUGGUCACGUUUGUUUUGUGACUUUGGUGAUGAAUUUGAAGUGCUGGAUACUACAGGAGAGGAGCCAAAGGAAAUCUUCAUUUCAAACAUAACACAAUCAAAUCCUGGGAUUGUCACUUGUCUUGAAAACCAUCCUCACAAGCUUGAAACGGGACAGUUCUUAACCUUUCGGGAAGUGAGCGGAAUGUCUUGUUUAAAUGGAUCUACACAACAACUAACAGUGGUGUCACCUUAUUCCUUCAGCAUUGGAGAUACUUCAGAUAUGGAACCUUACUUACACGGAGGCAUAGCUGUCCCAGUAAAGACACCCAAAAUAUUUUGCUUUGAACGGCUGGAGAAGCAGUUAACAAACCCAACCUACCUUCUUGCAGAUUUUAGCAAACCUGAGGCACCUUUGCAAACUCACACUGCCAUGCUUGCGCUGGACCAGUUCCAGGAAAACUUUGGUCGCAUGCCGAAUAUUGGAUGCCUUCAGGAUGCUGAGGAGAUGUUGAAAAUAGCAGUAUCCAUCAGUGAAACACUGGAAAGCAAACCUCAGGUGAAUGAAGACAUAGUGAAAUGGCUUUCUAGGACGGCUCAGGGAUUUCUAGCUCCCCUUGCUGCAACAGUCGGUGGGGUUGCUAGCCAAGAAGUCUUGAAAGCAGUAACAGGAAAAUUUUCUCCUUUGCAACAGUGGCUGUAUAUUGAUGCAUUAGACAUUGCUGUAUCUCUUGACAAGACCAGUUGCGAAGAAUUCCUCCCAAGGGGUGAUAAAUACGAUGCCUUGAGGAUUUGCAUUGGAGAGUCACUAUGCCAAAAGCUGCAUAAACUGAAUGUUUUCUUGGUUGGGUGUGGAGCAAUAGGCUGUGAAAUGUUAAAAAAUUUUGCACUUCUUGGUGUUGGCACUGCCCAAGACAAAGGCAUGGUCACAAUUACAGAUCCAGAUUUGAUAGAGAAAUCCAACUUGAACAGGCAGUUUCUUUUUCGACCCCGUCAUAUACAGAAACCUAAAAGCUAUACUGCAGCAACAGCAACACUGAACAUCAAUCCGCAGUUAAAGAUAGAUCCGUAUAUCAACAAAGUGUGUCCAGCCACAGAGAACAUUUACAACGACGAAUUCUACACCAAGCAAGACCUAGUUGUGACAGCACUAGACAAUGUGGAAGCAAGGAGAUAUAUUGACAGUCGCUGUGUAGCAAACCUGCGUCCGCUCUUAGACUCGGGAACCAUGGGAACUAAAGGACACACAGAAACUAUUGUGCCUCAUCUGACAGAGUCCUAUAACAGUCACCGAGAUCCACCCGAAGAGGAAAUUCCUUUUUGCACUUUGAAAUCUUUUCCAGCUGCUAUUGAGCACACAAUACAGUGGGCAAGAGAUAAGUUUGAAAGUGCGUUCUCCCACAAGCCUUCGUUGUUUAACAAAUUUUGGCAAACCUACCCAUCUGCAGAAGAAGUCUUACAGAGAAUAAAAUCAGGAGAGAGUUUAGAAGGCUGUUUUCAAGCUAUUAAGUCACUGAGCAGAAGACCCCGAAAUUGGUCUCAGUGUGUGGAACUUGCAAGAAAAAAAUUUGAGAAGUAUUUUAAUCAUAAGGCUCUUCAGUUACUUCAUUCUUUUCCCCUGGAUACACGAUUAAAAGAUGGAAGUUUGUUUUGGCAAUCACCAAAGAGGCCACCUUGUCCGAUAACGUUUGAAUUCAGUGAUCCUCUACACCACAGUUUCAUAGUGAGUGGUGCCACACUCUUUGCACGAGUAUACUGUGUCCCGUUCACCGCAAAGGAUUUGUCUGAAGAAACUAUUUUGAAGAUAAUUUCAGAAGUAAACAUACAAGAGUUCAGGCCCUCAAACAAAGUUGUGCAGACAGAUGAAACUGCAAGGAAACCAGAGCACAUUCCAGUAAGCAGUGAGGAUGAGAGGAAUGCCAUUUUCCAGCUGGAAAACACCAUCUUAGCCAAUGAAGCUAUGAAAAAUGACUUGCAGAUGAAAGUGCUCUCCUUUGAAAAAGAUGAUGAUGCUAAUGGACACAUAGACUUCAUAACAGCCGCCUCCAAUCUGCGAGCCAAGAUGUACAAUAUCGAACCAGCGGAUCGGCUCAAAACCAAGCGCAUCGCUGGAAAGAUCAUCCCUGCGAUUGCAACGGCUACUGCUGCUGUGUCUGGCUUGGUUGCCCUGGAAUUGAUCAAAGUCGUGGGUUCACAUCCAUUUGAAGCAUAUAAGAACUGCUUUUUAAAUCUAGCCAUUCCGAUAAUGGUGUUCACAGAAGCCGCUGGAGUAAGAAGAACAGAAAUAAGAAAUGGAAUAUCGUUUACAAUCUGGGACCGGUGGACUAUUUAUGGGAAAGAAGAUUUCACUCUGCUGGACUUCAUAAACGCUGUCAGAGAGAAAUACGGAAUAGAGCCAACAAUGGUGGUCCAAGGUGUCAAAAUGCUGUAUGUUCCUGUGAUGCCCGGUCACAUCAAAAGAUUAAAGUUGACGAUGCAAAAGCUUGUCAAACCCUCAGCUGAUAAAAAAUAUGUGGAUCUCACAGUGUCAUUCGCUCCAGAAACAGAUGGAGAUGAAGACUUACCAGGGCCUCCAGUGAGAUACUACUUCAUCCAUGAAGACAAUUGAUGCACUUCGUUCAGCCUAAUAAGCUGUCCAGGGAGCAGUGAUAUACACGCUGGAACUGCCAACUGAUAAGCAACAAAAAUUAAAGUCGCAAAAGAAAUGGAAGAGGCAGGACAACUUUGGUGGGUAUUCGUCACUGUGGCGAACCCAAACACCUCCACCACUGAACUAAUAAAAGGAAAGCCCACGCACGGAAGGAGUGAAGCACCGAGGAUCCGAAUGCAAUCCAUAGCCUCCCUGCCAUCUAAAGAGCUCAGAGUUAACCACAUUCCCAGAUUGCUCAGUGAUUAUGUGCUAGAUUCAGCAUUGGUGUGUCCAGGUAUCCCAUGUGAAGGGACGCUUUAUCUACUUCCCCUUUCACUGACCGGAGGCUAUAAAUCAACAACCAGCCCUGGUAAGGAAUACUGCUUAUCGUUAUAAAUCUUCCCUGUAAUGAACAUGCUAGUUAGUGAUGGGAAAGGUUGCAAGACAAUUAUAAUUAAACACCCUCCUCUCUUGUCUGAGGCAGCAGGAGAGAGGUAUAUUAUGGGCAAGACCUUUCAUUUUGGGGUUUUAUGUGGACAGGCGGACAGUAAAAAGCAACAAACAGAAAAAUACAAAUCUUGAUGGUAAAAACAGUUUCAAGCUGUGGUUUGUUUUGUGAACUGUCCAUUAACAGUAUGUAUACCGCCCCCUGCACAGAUGUGUAUCUGCUGCUACGUUGCCUCACUUUAACAGACAACCUCGCAUGUCCGCUUAUACUACUUUAUUCUUAACAUAAACAGAUCCACCUAUUGUAUUGGAUUUCUAAAAAA
Molecule: non-coding RNA, 4045 nt
Organism: Pelodiscus sinensis (Chinese soft-shelled turtle)
Lineage: Eukaryota; Metazoa; Chordata; Testudines; Trionychidae
Source: RefSeq, a predicted model, not a curated record